This 513-nucleotide long non-coding RNA is filed under the name Anser brachyrhynchus (Pink-footed goose). RNAcentral describes it as "lncRNA (ENSABRG00000018872.1)". The record is from RNAcentral. Lineage: Eukaryota; Metazoa; Chordata; Aves; Anseriformes; Anatidae.
UUAUUUUUAUUUCCUAUAUUAUCCUCAUCCUUUCCUUACUGUGUCAACCCACAAUCUACCUUAAAAUGAAUCUUCCUUUUUUUUUUUUUUUUUUUUUUCCAACUGCAUAACACAACAAGCAUUCUUUUUUCCCCUGGCUCUAAACUGGAAGUUUUGAAGAAUCUGAUCUUACCUUUCAGCCAGAAAGAGGAGGAAAGAUCAAAGAACUCAGUCCAUCCCCUUCAGUGGCCUUUUUUGAUCCAUGAAGUAGGAAGAACUUGGAUGACGUGUGGUGAAGCAGCAUAGUAAAGCAUGAGUAUUUCCUGGUCUCCGGACCACUGGAUGAUUUCAAUACUCAGGAGGUGCAGGCACAAAGAGGAAGAGGCAGCAGCCCUAGCCCUUUGCUCUGUGAUGCACCUCAACCACUGUGGAUAUGUUGGGGCAGUCAGGGUCUGGUUAAAGAAGGGCACUCUUUGGCCAGCCUCUGGCAACUCUCUGUGGGCAUGCUGCUUCAGCCCAUGCAGGAUCUCCUAG